RNAcentral lists this ribosomal RNA (441 nucleotides) under uncultured bacterium. RNAcentral's name for it is "partial 16S ribosomal RNA". It matches the Rfam family "Bacterial small subunit ribosomal RNA", at positions 338 to 795 of the family's 1533-position model. The record is from RNAcentral.
CCUACGGGUGGCAGCAGUGGGGAAUAUUGCACAAUGGGGGAAACCCUGAUGCAGCAACGCCGCGUGAAGGAAGACGGUUUUCGGAUUGUAAACUUCUGUUCUUAGUGAAGAAUAAUGACGGUAGCUAAGGAGCAAGCCACGGCUAACUACGUGCCAGCAGCCGCGGUAAUACGUAGGUGGCAAGCGUUGUCCGGAAUUACUGGGUGUAAAGGGAGCGCAGGGGGGUUUGCAAGUAAGAUGUGAAAAUUAUGGGCCCAACCCAUAACCUGCGGCUGAAACUACAGAUCUUGAGAGUGAGAGAGGUAGACGGAAUUCGCGGUGUAGCGGGGAAAUGCGUAGAUAUCGGGAGGAACACCGGUGGCGAAGGCGGUUUACUGGACCACAACUGACGCUGAGACACGAAAGCGUGGGGAGCAAACAGGAUUAGAUACCCUGGUAGUC